GACGAACGCUGGCGGCGUGCUUAACACAUGCCAGUCGAACGGAAAGGCCCUGCUUUUGUGGGGUGCUCGAGUGGCGAACGGGUGAGUAACACGUGAGUAACCUGCCCUUGACUUUGGGAUAACUUCAGGAAACUGGGGCUAAUACCGGAUAGGAGCUCGUGCUGCAUGGUGGGGGUUGGAAAGUUUCGGCGGUUGGGGAUGGACUCGCGGCUUAUCAGCUUGUUGGUGGGGUAGUGGCUUACCAAGGCUUUGACGGGUAGCCGGCCUGAGAGGGUGACCGGCCACAUUGGGACUGAGAUACGGCCCAGACUCCUACGGGAGGCAGCAGUGGGGAAUAUUGCACAAUGGGCGGAAGCCUGAUGCAGCAACGCCGCGUGCGGGAUGACGGCCUUCGGGUUGUAAACCGCUUUCGCCUGUGACGAAGCGUGAGUGACGGUAAUGGGUAAAGAAGCACCGGCUAACUACGUG
RNAcentral lists this ribosomal RNA (468 nucleotides) under uncultured bacterium. Its description in RNAcentral is "partial 16S ribosomal RNA". It matches the Rfam family "Bacterial small subunit ribosomal RNA", at positions 28 to 507 of the family's 1533-position model. The record is from RNAcentral.